This 1683-nucleotide long non-coding RNA is filed under the name Lytechinus variegatus (green sea urchin). Its description in RNAcentral is "uncharacterized LOC121417082". The record is from RNAcentral. Lineage: Eukaryota; Metazoa; Echinodermata; Echinoidea; Temnopleuroida; Toxopneustidae.
AGGCCUAUGAUUUUAUUGGAAAAACCUCGGCUCGGCCGGCAGUCAUUUUGAGAUUGAAAAAAAAAUGGUGCCCCAGUCUGCGCACCCAUUCACUUUUGCACGUGAUUUGGAGAUUUUGAUGAGAAAGGCUGCAUUUUGAGGCUGUCAUAAGAAAUACCCAAAUUUCAUUAUUUUUCCACCUUUGUGAGUCGGAUUUUGCAAUAAAUAUCUGUCUAUGCAUUAGAUGUGUAAAGUUUGCAUUGCGUAUCUUAUAGAUUCUACUAGAAUUGCGCAGAUACGCAUGUGCGCAGACUAUGGUACCUUGAGCGAAGUUCGUGCAGGAUCCACUCCACUUAAUUACCACUAGGGCCUACACCAUGCUCCACUUACACGAACUUCGAGACCAUGAACUCGAUCUGAUAUUCUGAGUGACAAAAGGUGGGAUUUUAUGGGGGUGAAAUAUGAAAUUCAUGCAACAUCACGAUCUUUACACAAAGUUUCACUUCUUUCCAUGCUUCUAUUAGUAUUAGUCUCAAAAUUGGUGAUUUGAAUUAUAGCCUACAUGAACUGUGAUGAAGAUCCUCACACAUAAAUAAUUCACUGCCGAUGAUCGCAUGCGGAUGCGAUAUGCGCGAGGUACCGGGUCCGGUACAAGCUCGGACCGGGCCGUCCUCAAGCACAUAGCCUACGUGUAAUGUAGGCCUGGCUAGAUCUAUUUCUAGUCAACUUUAUUCAAUUUUGUACGUCUACAUAUGUGUAUGUUAAACCCCAUUAAAAUCUAGGUCUAUACUAUAGGUCCAAACCUAGAUCUAAAUCCUGGCCUAGCUUGGCCAAUAGUCCCUUAUUAUUGGCCAGCCUAGCGAGGACAGGCCUACAUGCAAAUAGCAACAGAUCUAAAUGUUACAUUGUAAUUGCAGAUGUAUGUACAGUUUGUGAAUGAUCAGAAACUAAUUUUGAAUCUGAGAUACAGGAAUUACAUUUAGGUUGACUUCAUGUAAAUUCCCCACUGUGCACAGGGGAAUUUUUUAUUGAGAAUUUCUACAAUUUAUCCACUUAUUCCAUCAGUUCUCUAUAGAAUAGUCAGAUAACUUGUGUAAUAAUUAAUGUUACUAUUCUUGAUCUUUGAUUCAUGUUUAUCACAGUUAAAUGUUGCAGAAAAUGAGCACGAAGAAGACACCUACUGGAUGCAAUAUUACUCAUCACCUGACAACAUUGUUGUUAAUGUGACGAACCUCGGUACCGAGAUAUGAGUUGACUAGAGGAAACCCGCGACCAAGCACAGCAGAAAUUCUUGACAAAUAUCUACAGCUUUUGGGAAUGAUUGAUCAAGACUUUGAUUUAACAAUUGAUGCAGCUCCUGGUGCCCUUUUCACCAUGUGGCCAAAGUUGUCCAGGCAGACUUUGGAAUUUGCGGAGAAGAUUAAUCCAGGGUAUAGAAAGAUCCUAGGGGCUGGAGUGGACCAGAAAAUGACGCAGAGUCAACAAUGAAGAAAAUUUGGCUUUCAGUACUUCCUGGGAUUUUGAUCGGCAGAACGAAAGGGGAAUGAGGCAAAUUAAAUGUGCCGUACUUCAAAGUCUUGAAUCUUUCAUCAAUCUCCAAUUAGAAGGAGCAUGAAGAAAAAGAAGAUGAACAGGAAUUGACAAUGGCGCGUUCCAUACCUGGGAGUGAUUGCACAGUGGCACCCUUGGACCUAAUUUCACCCG